RNAcentral lists this ribosomal RNA (484 nucleotides) under uncultured bacterium. RNAcentral's name for it is "partial 16S ribosomal RNA". It matches the Rfam family "Bacterial small subunit ribosomal RNA", at positions 30 to 507 of the family's 1533-position model. The record is from RNAcentral.
AUUGAACGCUGGCGGCAGGCCUAACACAUGCAAGUCGAGCGGAUGAAGGGAGCUUGCUCCUGGAUUCAGCGGCGGACGGGUGAGUAAUGCCUAGGAAUCUGCCUGGUAGUGGGGGAUAACGUCCGGAAACGGGCGCUAAUACCGCAUACGUCCUGAGGGAGAAAGUGGGGGAUCUUCGGACCUCACGCUAUCAGAUGAGCCUAGGUCGGAUUAGCUAGUUGGUGGGGUAAAGGCCUACCAAGGCGACGAUCCGUAACUGGUCUGAGAGGAUGAUCAGUCACACUGGAACUGAGACACGGUCCAGACUCCUACGGGAGGCAGCAGUGGGGAAUAUUGGACAAAGGGCGAAAGCCUGAUACAGCCAUGCCGCGUGUGUGAAGAAGGUCUUCGGAUUGUAAAGCACUUUAAGUUGGGAGGAAGGGCAGUAAGUUAAUACCUUGCUGUUUUGACGUUACCAACAGAAUAAGCACCGGCUAACUUCGUG